CCUACGGGAGGCAGCAGUGGGGAAUAUUGCACAAUGGGGGAAACGCUGAUGCAGCAACGCCGCGUGAGUGAUGACGGCCUUCGGGGUGUAAAGCUCUGUCUUCAGGGACGAUAAUGACGGUACCUGAGGAGGAAGCCACGUCUAACGACGUGGCAGGAGCCGCGGUAAUACGUCGGUGGCGAGCGUUGUCCGGAUUUACUGGGCGUAAAGGGAGCGUAGGCGGACUUUUAAGUGAGAUGUGAAAUACUCGGGCUCAACUUGAGUGCUGCAUUUCAAACUGUAAGUCUAGAGUGCAGGAGAGGAGAAGGGAAUUCGUAGUGUAGCGGUGAAAUGCGUAGAGAUUAGGCAGAACACC
Molecule: ribosomal RNA, 355 nt
Filed under: uncultured bacterium
Lineage: Bacteria
Description: partial 16S ribosomal RNA
Rfam family: Bacterial small subunit ribosomal RNA
Source: RNAcentral